This 517-nucleotide unclassified non-coding RNA is filed under the name Hevea brasiliensis (rubber tree). Lineage: Eukaryota; Viridiplantae; Streptophyta; Magnoliopsida; Malpighiales; Euphorbiaceae. The record is from RNAcentral.
AGGGUGUUGCUGCCUUUUACAAGGUAUGCUUCUGUUAGUUAAAGUGAAUUUUGAAAGUUGAUGUUACGAACUUUUGAUCUGGUUGAAUGACUAAAUUUAGAUUUUGCCGUUAUAAGAUAUGUGUUAAAAGGCUUGUUUUUUGUCGAUGCUUGAUUUGGGUUUGUGUAUGUUUCUUGUGGAAAGUUUGAACUUGCCAAUACUAACGCUUUAGAAUAUGCACAAUUUGGGCCAUUCAAUGCCUAAUUGAAAUGUGUUAAGUAAACCAGGUCUAAUUUUUUAAGUUCUGACCUUGUCUAUCUUUUGGUAUAAUGGGGUUGUCUAUGGAAUUAUCAGUUACAGAAUAGAUAUGCAAAUUCUGUUCUUGGAAUAGAUUAGGUGACAAUGACACAAUGAAAUUGUUGAAUUUUUUCAAUUUGAGAUGUGGCCUGUUGUUCUGACCGAGGAUUUGGACUUGCAUUACUUAUGUACUGUAACUAAAUAACAUAUUUUUAUCAGGGGCUGUCUGCUGGACUACUCA